Molecule: ribosomal RNA, 1442 nt
Filed under: uncultured organism
Description: SSU rRNA
Rfam family: Bacterial small subunit ribosomal RNA
Source: RNAcentral
GGCUUAACACAUGCAAGUCGAGGGGCAGCAUGGUCUUAGCUUGCUAAGGCCGAUGGCGACCGGCGCACGGGUGAGUAACACGUAUCCAACCUGCCGUCUACUCUUGGACAGCCUUCUGAAAGGAAGAUUAAUACAAGAUGGCAUCAUGAGUCCGCAUGUUCACAUGAUUAAAGGUAUUCCGGUAGACGAUGGGGAUGCGUUCCAUUAGAUAGUAGGCGGGGUAACGGCCCACCUAGUCUUCGAUGGAUAGGGGUUCUGAGAGGAAGGUCCCCCACAUUGGAACUGAGACACGGUCCAAACUCCUACGGGAGGCAGCAGUGAGGAAUAUUGGUCAAUGGGCGAGAGCCUGAACCAGCCAAGUAGCGUGAAGGAUGACUGCCCUAUGGGUUGUAAACUUCUUUUAUAAAGGAAUAAAGUCGGGUAUGGAUACCCGUUUGCAUGUACUUUAUGAAUAAGGAUCGGCUAACUCCGUGCCAGCAGCCGCGGUAAUACGGAGGAUCCGAGCGUUAUCCGGAUUUAUUGGGUUUAAAGGGAGCGUAGAUGGAUGUUUAAGUCAGUUGUGAAAGUUUGCGGCUCAACCGUAAAAUUGCAGUUGAUACUGGAUAUCUUGAGUGCAGUUGAGGCAGGCGGAAUUCGUGGUGUAGCGGUGAAAUGCUUAGAUAUCACGAAGAACUCCGAUUGCGAAGGCAGCCUGCUAAGCUGCAACUGACAUUGAGGCUCGAAAGUGUGGGUAUCAAACAGGAUUAGAUACCCUGGUAGUCCACACGGUAAACGAUGAAUACUCGCUGUUUGCGAUAUACAGCAAGCGGCCAAGCGAAAGCGUUAAGUAUUCCACCUGGGGAGUACGCCGGCAACGGUGAAACUCAAAGGAAUUGACGGGGGCCCGCACAAGCGGAGGAACAUGUGGUUUAAUUCGAUGAUACGCGAGGAACCUUACCCGGGCUUAAAUUGCAGAUGAAUUACGGUGAAAGCCGUAAGCCGCAAGGCAUCUGUGAAGGUGCUGCAUGGUUGUCGUCAGCUCGUGCCGUGAGGUGUCGGCUUAAGUGCCAUAACGAGCGCAACCCUUGUUGUCAGUUACUAACAGGUUCCGCUGAGGACUCUGACAAGACUGCCAUCGUAAGAUGUGAGGAAGGUGGGGAUGACGUCAAAUCAGCACGGCCCUUACGUCCGGGGCUACACGCGUGUUACAAUGGGGGGGUACAGAGGGCCGCUACCACGCGAGUGGAUGCCAAUCCCAAAAACCUCUCUCAGUUCGGACUGGAGUCUGCAACCCGACUCCACGAAGCUGGAUUCGCUAGUAAUCGCGCAUCAGCCACGGCGCGGUGAAUACGUUCCCGGGCCUUGUACACACCGCCCGUCAAGCCAUGGGAGCCGGGGGUACCUGAAGUGCGUAACCGCGAGGAGCGCCCUAGGGUAAAACUGGUGACUGGGGCUAAGUCAUA